AGCGAACGCUGGCGGGAGGCUUAACACAUGCAAGUCGAGCGGGCCCUUCGGGGUCAGCGGCAGACGGGUGAGUAACACGUGGGAACGUACCCUUUGGUUCGGAAUAACGCUGGGAAACUAGCGCUAAUACCGGAUACCCCCUUUUGGGGAAAGGCUUGCUGCCGAAGGAUCGGCCCGCGUCUGAUUAGCUAGUUGGUGGGGUAAUGGCCUACCAAGGCGACGAUCAGUAGCUGGUCUGAGAGGAUGAUCAGCCACACUGGGACUGAGACACGGCCCACACUCCUACGGGAGGCAGCAGUGGGGAAUAUUGGACAAUGGGCGCAAGCCUGAUCCAGCCAUGCCGCGUGAGUGAUGAAGGCCUUAGGGUUGUAAAGCUCUUUUGUCCGGGACGAUAAUGACGGUACCGGAAGAAUAAGCCCCGGCUAACUUCGUGCCAGCAGCCGCGGUAAUACGAAGGGGGCUAGCGUUGCUCGGAAUCACUGGGCGUAAAGGGCGCGUAAGCGGCCAUUCAAGUCGGGGGUGAAAGCCUGUGGCUCAACCACAGAAUUGCCUUCGAUACUGUUUGGCUUGAGUUUGGUAGAGGUUGGUGG
This 590-nucleotide ribosomal RNA is filed under the name uncultured bacterium. RNAcentral describes it as "bacterial SSU rRNA". It matches the Rfam family "Bacterial small subunit ribosomal RNA", at positions 28 to 664 of the family's 1533-position model. The record is from RNAcentral.